This 460-nucleotide ribosomal RNA is filed under the name uncultured Glomus. RNAcentral describes it as "SSU rRNA". It matches the Rfam family "Eukaryotic small subunit ribosomal RNA", at positions 569 to 1033 of the family's 1831-position model. Lineage: Eukaryota; Fungi; Glomeromycota; Glomeromycetes; Glomerales; Glomeraceae. The record is from RNAcentral.
AGCAGCCGCGGUAAUUCCAGCUCCAAUAGCGUAUAUUAAAGUCGUUGCAGUUAAAAAAGCUCGUAGUUGAAUUUCGGGAUCAAUAUGUUGGUCGUGCCUUGGUACGUACUGGCAUUAUCGAUUCCUACCUUCUGAAGAACCUCGAUGUCAUUAAUUUGGUGUCUUGGGGAAUCAGGACUGUUACUUUGAAAAAAUUAGAGUGUUUAAAGCAGGCUCGCGCUUGAAUACAUUAGCAUGGAAUAAUGAAAUAGGACGUUUGAUUCUAUUUUGUUGGUUUCUAGGAUCGACGUAAUGAUUAAUAGGGAUAGUUGGGGGCAUUAGUAUUCAAUUGUCAGAGGUGAAAUUCUUGGAUUUAUUGAAGACUAACUACUGCGAAAGCAUUUGCCAAGGAUGCUUUCAUUAAUCAAGAACGAAAGUUAGGGGAUCGAAGACGAUCAGAUACCGUCGUAGUCUUAACCAU